Molecule: ribosomal RNA, 273 nt
Filed under: uncultured bacterium
Lineage: Bacteria
Description: partial 16S ribosomal RNA
Rfam family: Bacterial small subunit ribosomal RNA
Source: RNAcentral
CCCGCCGGCGACCGGCGCACGGGUGAGUAACACGUAUGCAACCUGGCCGCCACAGGGGGAUAACCCGCGGAAACGCGGCCUAAUACCCCGUGACGCCACCGGAGGGCAUCCUCCGGUGGCCAAAGGAGCGAUCCGGUGGCGGAUGGGCGUGCGGCGCAUUAGCUAGACGGCGGGGUGACGGCCCACCGUGGCGACGAUGCGUAGGGGUUCUGAGAGGAAGGCCCCCCCACACUGGGACUGAGACACGGCCCAGACUCCUACGGAAGGCAGCAG